RNAcentral lists this ribosomal RNA (791 nucleotides) under uncultured bacterium. RNAcentral describes it as "bacterial SSU rRNA". It matches the Rfam family "Bacterial small subunit ribosomal RNA", at positions 8 to 796 of the family's 1533-position model. The record is from RNAcentral.
AGAGUUUGAUCAUGGCUCAGAUUGAACGCUGGCGGCAUGCCUUACACAUGCAAGUCGAACGGCAGCACGGGGGCAACCCUGGUGGCGAGUGGCGAACGGGUGAGUAAUACAUCGGAACGUGUCCUGUAGUGGGGGAUAGCCCGGCGAAAGCCGGAUUAAUACCGCAUACGAUCUAUGGGUGAAAGCGGGGGAUCUUCGGACCUCGUGCUAUAGGGGCGGCCGAUGGCAGAUUAGCUAGUUGGUGGGGUAAAGGCCCACCAAGGCGACGAUCUGUAGCUGGUCUGAGAGGACGACCAGCCACACUGGGACUGAGACACGGCCCAGACUCCUACGGGAGGCAGCAGUGGGGAAUUUUGGACAAUGGGGGCAACCCUGAUCCAGCAAUGCCGCGUGUGUGAAGAAGGCCUUCGGGUUGUAAAGCACUUUUGUCCGGAAAGAAAUCCUAGAGGCUAAUAUCCUGUGGGGAUGACGGUACCGGAAGAAUAAGCACCGGCUAACUACGUGCCAGCAGCCGCGGUAAUACGUAGGGUGCGAGCGUUAAUCGGAAUUACUGGGCGUAAAGCGUGCGCAGGCGGUUCGCUAAGACCGAUGUGAAAUCCCCGGGCUUAACCUGGGAACUGCAUUGGUGACUGGCGGGCUAGAGUAUGGCAGAGGGGGGUAGAAUUCCACGUAGCAGUGAAAUGCGUAGAGAUGUGGAGGAAUACCGAUGGCGAAGGCAGCCCCCUGGGCCAAUACUGACGCUCAUGCACGAAAGCGUGGGGAGCAAACAGGAUUAGAUACCCCGGUAGUCC